This 253-nucleotide ribosomal RNA is filed under the name uncultured bacterium. RNAcentral's name for it is "partial 16S ribosomal RNA". It matches the Rfam family "Bacterial small subunit ribosomal RNA", at positions 524 to 776 of the family's 1533-position model. The record is from RNAcentral.
UACGUAGGGUGCGAGCGUUGUCCGGAAUUACUGGGCGUAAAGCGCGCGUAGGCGGACCUGCAAGUCGGGGGUGAAAGCCCGAGGCUCAACCUCGGAACUGCCUUCGAUACUGCGGGUCUCGAGUCCGGGAGAGGUGAGUGGAAUUCCUAGUGUAGAGGUGAAAUUCGUAGAUAUUAGGAAGAACACCAGUGGCGAAGGCGGCUCACUGGCCCGGUACUGACGCUGAGGCGCGAAAGCGUGGGGAGCAAACAGG